CGGACAUGUAAAUCCUUUGUGAAAUCUCUCUGCUUAACAGAGAGGCGUGCAGGGGACACUGCGUGUCUAGAGACCGGGAGGGGUCAAAGGUAUUCUGGGGGGAGCGGUAAAAUGUUAUAAUCCUCGGAAGACCACCAAUGGCGAAGGCAUUUGACCAGAACGGAUCUGACGGUGAGGGAUGAAGGCCAGGGGAGCAAAACGGAUUAGAUACCCGAGUAGUCCUGGCUGUAAACACUGCGUGCAAGGUGUUGCACAUUCUUGUGAAUGUGCAGUAUCGAAGAGAAGUCGUUAAGCACGCCGCCUGGGAA
RNAcentral lists this ribosomal RNA (308 nucleotides) under uncultured archaeon. Its description in RNAcentral is "bacterial SSU rRNA". It matches the Rfam family "Archaeal small subunit ribosomal RNA", at positions 526 to 834 of the family's 1478-position model. The record is from RNAcentral.